GACAGAGGUGGCAAGCGUUGUUCGGAAUUACUGGGCUUAAAGGGUGUGUAGGCGGUUAAGUAAGCAACUCGUGAAAGCUCCAGGCUCAACCUGGGAAUUGCAAGUUGUACUGCUUAACUUGAGGCGCGUAGGGGUCAACGGAACUCUGGGUGGAGCGGUGAAAUGCGUAGAUAUCCAGGGGAACGCCAGUGGCGAAGGCGGUUGACUGGGCGCGUCCUGACGCUGAGGCACGAAAGCGUGGGUAGCAAACGGGAUUAGAUACCCCGGUAGUCCACGCCCUAAACGAUGUAUACUGGCUUCAGGGACUUCUGACAGUUUCUGGAGCGUAGGGAAACCGUUAAGUAUACCGCCUGGGAAGUACGGUCGCAAGAUUAAA
RNAcentral lists this ribosomal RNA (376 nucleotides) under uncultured bacterium. RNAcentral describes it as "bacterial SSU rRNA". It matches the Rfam family "Bacterial small subunit ribosomal RNA", at positions 524 to 898 of the family's 1533-position model. The record is from RNAcentral.